CCUACGGGGGGCAGCAGUGAGGAAUAUUGGUCAAUGGGCGGAAGCCUGAACCAGCCAAGUAGCGUGCGGGAUGAAGGCCCUACGGGUCGUAAACCGCUUUUGCACGGGGAUAACCCCCUCCACUUGUGGAGGUCUGCAGGUACCGUACGAAUAAGGGCCGGCUAAUUCCGUGCCAGCAGCCGCGGUAAUACGGAAGGCCCGAGCGUUAUCCGGAUUCAUUGGGCUUAAAGGGAGCGUAGGCGGGCCUUCAAGUGAGGUGUAAAAUGCCGCGGCUCAACCGCGGCCCCGCAGCGCAAACUGGACGCCUUGAGUUCACAACAGGCAGGCGGAAUUCGUGGUGUAGCGGUGAAAUGCAUAGAUAUCACGAGGAACCCCGAUUGCGAAGGCAGCCUGCCGGGGUGCGACUGACGCUGAGGCUCGAAGGUGCGGGUAUCGAACAGGAUUAGAUACCCGAGUAGUC
Molecule: ribosomal RNA, 460 nt
Filed under: uncultured bacterium
Lineage: Bacteria
Description: partial 16S ribosomal RNA
Rfam family: Bacterial small subunit ribosomal RNA
Source: RNAcentral